This 425-nucleotide ribosomal RNA is filed under the name uncultured bacterium. RNAcentral describes it as "partial 16S ribosomal RNA". It matches the Rfam family "Bacterial small subunit ribosomal RNA", at positions 354 to 796 of the family's 1533-position model. The record is from RNAcentral.
GUGGGGAAUCUUGCGCAAUGGGCGAAAGCCUGACGCAGCCAUGCCGCGUGAAUGAUGAAGGUCUUAGGAUUGUAAAAUUCUUUCACCGGGGACGAUAAUGACGGUACCCGGAGAAGAAGCCCCGGCUAACUUCGUGCCAGCAGCCGCGGUAAUACGAAGGGGGCUAGCGUUGCUCGGAAUUACUGGGCGUAAAUGGAGCGUAGGCGGACAUUUAAGUCAGGGGUGAAAUCCCGUGGAUCAACCUCGGAAUUGCCUUUGAUACUGGGUGUCUUGAGUGUGAGAGAGGUAUGUGGAACUCCGAGUGUAGAGGUGAAAUUCGUAGAUAUUCGGAAGAACACCAGUGGCGAAGGCGACUUUCUGGACGAUGUCUGACGCUGAGGCGCGAAAGCUAGGGGAGCGAACGGGAUUAGAAACCCUUGUAGUCC